Molecule: non-coding RNA, 71 nt
Organism: Elusimicrobia bacterium RBG_16_66_12
Lineage: Bacteria; Pseudomonadati; Elusimicrobiota
Source: Rfam
GCCCCCUUAGCUCAGUGGCAGAGCACCAGUUUUGUAAACUGGCUACCCCAGUUCGAUUCUGGGAGGGGGCU